GCCGCCCUAGCUCGACAGGUACAGCAGUGGCCUCUUAAGCCAUUGGGUGUGGGUUCGACCCCCACGGGCGUGC
Molecule: transfer RNA, 73 nt
Filed under: Chloroflexota bacterium
Lineage: Bacteria; Bacillati; Chloroflexota
Description: tRNA-Lys
Rfam family: tRNA
About the family: Transfer RNA (tRNA) molecules are approximately 80 nucleotides in length.
Source: RNAcentral